GGGUUGUGAGGUUAAGCGACUAAGCGUACACGGUGGAUGCCCUGGCAGUCAGAGGCGAUGAAGGACGUGCUAAUCUGCGAAAAGCGCCGGCGAGGUGAUAUGAACCUUUGACCCGGCGAUGUCCGAAUGGGGAAACCCAGUGUGUUCCGACACACUAUCGUUAACUGAAUACAUAGGUUAACGAGGCGAACCGGGGGAACUGAAACAUCUAAGUACCCCGAGGAAAAGAAAUCA
RNAcentral lists this ribosomal RNA (234 nucleotides) under Enterobacter hormaechei. RNAcentral's name for it is "partial 23S ribosomal RNA". It matches the Rfam family "Bacterial large subunit ribosomal RNA", at positions 1 to 227 of the family's 2925-position model. The record is from RNAcentral. Lineage: Bacteria; Pseudomonadati; Pseudomonadota; Gammaproteobacteria; Enterobacterales; Enterobacteriaceae.